This 305-nucleotide ribosomal RNA is filed under the name uncultured bacterium. RNAcentral's name for it is "bacterial SSU rRNA". It matches the Rfam family "Bacterial small subunit ribosomal RNA", at positions 337 to 635 of the family's 1533-position model. The record is from RNAcentral.
CCCUACGGGGCGCAGCAGUGGGGAAUCUUGCGCAAUGGGCGAAAGCCUGACGCAGCGACGCCGCGUGAGUGAUGAAGGCCUUCGGGUUGUAAAGCUCUGUGGGGAGAGAAGAAUUAGUGCGGGCUAGUACUCCGCAUGAUGACGGUAUCUCCUUAGCAAGCACCGGCUAACUCUGUGCCAGCAGCCGCGGUAAGACAGAGGGUGCAAACGUUGUUCGGAAUUACUGGGUGUAAAGCGUGUGUAGGCGGCCAUGUAAGUUGGAUGUGAAAGCCCCGGGCCCAACCCGGGAAGGGCAUUCAAAACUG